UACGGAGGGUGCGAGCGUUAUCCGGAAUUACUGGGUUUAAAGGGUGCGUAGGCGGCUAUGUAAGUCAGGAGUGAAAGUUUGCGGCUCAACCGUAAAAUUGCUUUUGAUACUGCAUGGCUGGAAUUAGGAUGAGGUCAGCGGAAUGUGGCAUGUAGCGGUGAAAUGCAUAGAUAUGACACAGAACACCGAUUGCGAAGGCAGCUUACUAAGUCGUAACUGACGCUGAUGCACGAAAGCGUGGGGAGCAAACAGG
Molecule: ribosomal RNA, 253 nt
Filed under: uncultured bacterium
Lineage: Bacteria
Description: partial 16S ribosomal RNA
Rfam family: Bacterial small subunit ribosomal RNA
Source: RNAcentral